AUUGAACGCUAGCGGGAUGCCUUACACAUGCAAGUCGAACGGCAGCACGGACUUCGGUCUGGUGGCGAGUGGCGAACGGGUGAGUAAUGUAUCGGAACGUGCCCAGUAGCGGGGGAUAACUACGCGAAAGCGUAGCUAAUACCGCAUACGCCCUACGGGGGAAAGCAGGGGAUCGUAAGACCUUGCACUAUUGGAGCGGCCGAUAUCGGAUUAGCUAGUUGGUGGGGUAACGGCUCACCAAGGCGACGAUCCGUAGCUGGUUUGAGAGGACGACCAGCCACACUGGGACUGAGACACGGCCCAGACUCCUACGGGAGGCAGCAGUGGGGAAUUUUGGACAAUGGGGGAAACCCUGAUCCAGCCAUCCCGCGUGUGCGAUGAAGGCCUUCGGGUUGUAAAGCACUUUUGGCAGGAAAGAAACGUCAUGGGUUAAUACCCCGUGAAACUGACGGUAC
This 455-nucleotide ribosomal RNA is filed under the name uncultured Achromobacter sp. RNAcentral describes it as "bacterial SSU rRNA". It matches the Rfam family "Bacterial small subunit ribosomal RNA", at positions 30 to 478 of the family's 1533-position model. Lineage: Bacteria; Pseudomonadati; Pseudomonadota; Betaproteobacteria; Burkholderiales; Alcaligenaceae. The record is from RNAcentral.